This 405-nucleotide ribosomal RNA is filed under the name uncultured bacterium. Its description in RNAcentral is "partial 16S ribosomal RNA". It matches the Rfam family "Bacterial small subunit ribosomal RNA", at positions 30 to 526 of the family's 1533-position model. The record is from RNAcentral.
AUUGAACGCUAGCGGGAUGCUUUACACAUGCAAGUCGAACGAGUGGCGGACGGGUGAGUAAUAUAUCGGAACGUGCCCAGUAGCGGGGGAUAACUACUCGAAAGAGUGGCACAUACCGAAUACUAUUGGAGCAGCUGCUAUCGGAGUAGCAAGUUGGUGGGGUAAAGGCUCACCAAGGAAACGAUCCGUAGCUGGUUUGAGAGGACGACCGGGCGCACUGGGACAGGGGCACGGCCCAGACGCCAACACGAGGCAGCAGUGGAGAAUUGUGGACAAUUGGGGAAACCCGGAAGCAGCCAUCCCGCGUGUAUGAGAAGGCCUUCGGGUUGUAAAGUACUUUUGGCAGAGAAGCGGUAUCUGCAGAAUAAGCACCGGCUAACUACGUGCCAGCAGCCGCGGUAAUUC